Molecule: long non-coding RNA, 799 nt
Filed under: Scophthalmus maximus (turbot)
Lineage: Eukaryota; Metazoa; Chordata; Actinopteri; Pleuronectiformes; Scophthalmidae
Description: lncRNA (ENSSMAG00000022465.1)
Source: RNAcentral
GCAUUAUGGGGUGGGUCCUCUCUACCUGAGCCGUAACUUUACGGCAGAUCCCGGAGUGGAGGAGGAGGAGGAGCUGAACUAACGGUAAUAAACUGUCGGCGUGGAACCAGUGAAAGGGACCGAAGGGUUCUUUAACGGUUUAACGCUGUUUCCCCGCAGGAUGGAGGCGGAGACAAGUCGCCGCCGCUAAGUGACUGUAAGUGAUUCACCUGAGCCUCAGAGGAAACGGCAACAUGUGGACAACUGCUACCGACGCCUCCACCUCGCUGACAACUGCUGGUCGUCGAGCGGUGACCGAUAAGAACCAAUCAGGACGUAGAACGUGGGGCGUCUGCGUCCCCAUCGUCAAAGACACAAACACACGAGACGAGUGCAGCUCCACCCAGUGGUGGGUACCCCAGUUCAUCAGAAUCGAUGUCCAACCUGGAGGACGGACGUCAGGAUGAGGUCAGAACCAACGACACACAGAGACAUGGACCACAUGUACACAUAUAUACAGGUUAACGUGAGUGUGUGUUUGUGUGAGUGUGUACAAUCAGACAUAUUUAGUGACAGAUGUGUGUGAGAUUUGGUUGAAUUGAUUGAAUUGAAGGACUGUUGCUGGUGGACGUUUGAGCAAUGUGCAAGUUUAUUCUGUUAAAUUGAAUUUCAUAUCAGCAAACAAACAAACGCUGAUUCUGAUGUUGCUGAAAGACUCGAACAGAGGAGGACCUAAGAGGGAGGAUGGAGGAGGACGGAGAAGAAGGAUAGAAGAGGGUGGAGGAGGACAGAAGAGGAUGGAGAAGAAGGACAGAAGAGU